RNAcentral lists this ribosomal RNA (632 nucleotides) under Shigella sonnei. RNAcentral's name for it is "partial 23S ribosomal RNA". It matches the Rfam family "Bacterial large subunit ribosomal RNA", at positions 2287 to 2912 of the family's 2925-position model. The record is from RNAcentral. Lineage: Bacteria; Pseudomonadati; Pseudomonadota; Gammaproteobacteria; Enterobacterales; Enterobacteriaceae.
CUCCUAAAGAGUAACGGAGGAGCACGAAGGUUGGCUAAUCCUGGUCGGACAUCAGGAGGUUAGUGCAAUGGCAUAAGCCAGCUUGACUGCGAGCGUGACGGCGCGAGCAGGUGCGAAAGCAGGUCAUAGUGAUCCGGUGGUUCUGAAUGGAAGGGCCAUCGCUCAACGGAUAAAAGGUACUCCGGGGAUAACAGGCUGAUACCGCCCAAGAGUUCAUAUCGACGGCGGUGUUUGGCACCUCGAUGUCGGCUCAUCACAUCCUGGGGCUGAAGUAGGUCCCAAGGGUAUGGCUGUUCGCCAUUUAAAGUGGUACGCGAGCUGGGUUUAGAACGUCGUGAGACAGUUCGGUCCCUAUCUGCCGUGGGCGCUGGAGAACUGAGGGGGGCUGCUCCUAGUACGAGAGGACCGGAGUGGACGCAUCACUGGUGUUCGGGUUGUCAUGCCAAUGGCACUGCCCGGUAGCUAAAUGCGGAAGAGAUAAGUGCUGAAAGCAUCUAAGCACGAAACUUGCCCCGAGAUGAGUUCUCCCUGACCCUUUAAGGGUCCUGAAGGAACGUUGAAGACGACGACGUUGAUAGGCCGGGUGUGUAAGCGCAGCGAUGCGUUGAGCUAACCGGUACUAAUGAACCGUG